Long non-coding RNA from Brienomyrus brachyistius, 2426 nucleotides. RefSeq lists it as uncharacterized. Lineage: Eukaryota; Metazoa; Chordata; Actinopteri; Osteoglossiformes; Mormyridae. The record is from RefSeq and is a predicted model, not a curated record. The transcript is spliced from 3 exons.
CCACAGUAGUGCAUCUUUCAUUUUCAUUGUGUAUUGGAGAGACACAUCGGUGUUACUCCUGACAUCAUGGUGUGGGGAUCCAUAGGGUAUGACAUCAUGGUGUGGGGAUCCAUAGGGUAUGACAUCAUGGUGUGGGGAUCCAUAGGGUAUGACAUCAUAGUAUAGGGAGCCAUAGGGUAUGACAUCAUGGUGUGGGGAGCCAUAGGGUAUGACAUCAUAGUAUAGGGAGCCAUAGGGUAUGACAUCAUGGUGUGGGGAUCCAUAGGGUAUGACAUCAUGGUGUGGGGAGCCAUAGGGUAUGACAUCAUAGUAUAGGGAGCCAUAGGGUAUGACAUCAUGGUGUGGGGAGCCAUAGGGUAUGACAUCAUAGUAUAGGGAGCCAUAGGGUAUGACAUCAUGGUGUUGGGAGCCAUAGGGUAUGACAUCAUGGUGUGGGGAGCCAUAGGGUAUGACAUCAUAGUAUAGGGAGCCAUAGGGUAUGACAUCAUGGUGUGGGGAGCCAUAGGGUAUGACAUCAUAGUAUAGGGAGCCAUAGGGUAUGACAUCAUGGUGUGGGGAUCCAUAGGGUAUGACAUCAUGGUGUGGGGAUCCAUAGGGUAUGACAUCAUAGUAUAGGGAGCCAUAGGGUAUGACAUCAUGGUGUGGGGAUCCAUAGGGUAUGACAUCAUGGUGUGGGGAGCCAUAGGGUAUGACAUCAUAGUAUAGGGAGCCAUAGGGUAUGACAUCAUGGUGUGGGGAGCCAUAGGGUAUGACAUCAUAGUAUAGGGAGCCAUAGGGUAUGACAUCAUGGUGUUGGGAGCCAUAGGGUAUGACAUCAUGGUGUGGGGAGCCAUAGGGUAUGACAUCAUGGUGUGGGGAUCCAUAGGGUAUGACAUCAUGGUGUGGGGAGCCAUAGGAUAUGACUUCAGGUCACCUGUGAUAGUGAUUCAGGGGGGGCCUGACGGCACAGCGCUACGCCAGUGACAUUCUGCAUCCGUAUGUCUUACCCCUCCUGAGACACCACCCUGGUACAGUCUUUCAACAAGACAACACCUGUCCACACACAGCACAUGUGUCUAUGCAGUGCCUGCAUCAUGUUGAGGUCCUCCUGUAGCCAGCCAGGUCCCCUGAUCUUUCCCCAAUCGAACAUGUGCGGGAUCAGCAAGGAUAUCAACUCAGACCCAGUGCCAAUCUGGAGGAUCUCGAGGGCCAAUUACAACAUUUGUGGGUCGACUUGCCACAGGAAAGGAUACAAUGGCUGUACGGCUCACUUCCGCACCGUAUUGACGCAUGUAUCUAGGCCCUGGGGUUGGGGGUGGGGGUGCCACAACCUACUGACAUGGGACCAACAGUGUGCCCAUACUACCAACUUUGUUUGAUCUAAUAUUAUAAUCAUUGCGAUACAGUCACAUGACCUUUCACCACGUACAGAUGCAUUUCCACCAUUUUGUCUGGGUGCUUAAUUUUUUUUGUCACUGAGUGUACAAUUAAUGGGUAUUGAUUCCAGAGUCUUUAUUGGCCACGUGCAAUUGGUGCGUUAGAAUGCUUACUCAGUUAAAGAGAGACUAAGGACAGUGCAAAACAAUACAGGACAGUGUAAAACAAUACAGGACAGUGUAAAACAACACAACACAGUGUAAAACAAUACAGAACAAUGUAAAGCAAUGCAAGACAGUGUAAAACAAUAUGAGACGGCAGACGGCAAAAACCAAUAGCACACGACGCAAUGAACAGUGCAAAACUGGAUGAUAUGUGGUUAGACACUGAUGAAGUGCAGUGGCAGAUCUAAAAAGUGCAGGUGCCAUGAGUAUGGCUGUUAUGGGAAAUGCGGAUGCGGAAAAAUGAAUAGUUUGGGGAAAGAAGCUGUUUGAGUCUGGAAGAAUAGAAUAGAAUAGAAUAGAAUAGAAUAGAAUAGAAUGGAAUGGAAUAGAAUAGAAUAGAAUAGAAUAGAAUGGAAUAGAAUAGAAUAGAAUAGAAUAGAAUAGAAUAGAAUAGAAUAGAGUAGAAUGGAAUAGAAUAGAAUGGCUUUAUUGACAUUGCACAUAUAAUGAAUUCAGUGCUACUUCUGAUCGGUGUAAACUCAAACAACCACAGCAACACCAUACAAUAAAUAUAAAAGUUUUAAAAGUAAGUCAAAAAUACCAGCUUAAUGUGGAUGUGUGAGUAUGUAGAUUAUUAAUCUAAUCUAUGAAUGUAAUCUAAUUAUUGCUGUGUAUUAUAAAUAUUUAAACUGCAUAUAUAACAGGAUGCAGAUUUUACAUUUAUUUACAGUACACUCAUGUACGAUGCACCUUUUGCUUGUUUGAUAUCUUGGCCAAAGGCAUUUCUAUAGUCAUUAAGAAUUGGAGAGGGGUCACUUGGUGUGACCCGUCCAGCGGGACUGCUGUCUAUACCAGCUUCAUAAAAGACAAUAAUAUACAACAAAACUAAUAUUUUGUUUUACUGAU